This 253-nucleotide ribosomal RNA is filed under the name uncultured bacterium. RNAcentral's name for it is "partial 16S ribosomal RNA". It matches the Rfam family "Bacterial small subunit ribosomal RNA", at positions 524 to 776 of the family's 1533-position model. The record is from RNAcentral.
UACGGAGGGUGCAAGCGUUAUCCGGAUUCACUGGGUUUAAAGGGUGCGUAGGCGGGCAGGUAAGUCCGUGGUGAAAUCUCCGAGCUUAACUCGGAAACUGCCAUGGAUACUAUUUGUCUUGAAUAUUGUGGAGGUGAGCGGAAUAUGUCAUGUAGCGGUGAAAUGCUUAGAUAUGACAUAGAACACCAAUUGCGAAGGCAGCUCGCUACACAAUGAUUGACGCUGAGGCACGAAAGCGUGGGGAUCAAACAGG